RNAcentral lists this ribosomal RNA (449 nucleotides) under uncultured bacterium. RNAcentral describes it as "bacterial SSU rRNA". It matches the Rfam family "Bacterial small subunit ribosomal RNA", at positions 328 to 793 of the family's 1533-position model. The record is from RNAcentral.
CCGCCAGACUCCUACGGGAGGCAGCAGUGGGGGAUAUUGCACAAUGGGGGAAACCCUGAUGCAGCGACGCCGCGUGAGUGAAGAAGUAUUUCGGUAUGUAAAGCUCUAUCAGCAGGGAAGAAGAUGACAGUACCUGAGUAAGAAGCCCCGGCUAACUACGUGCCAGCAGCCGCGGUAAUACGUAGGGGGCAAGCGUUAUCCGGAUUUACUGGGUGUAAAGGGAGCGUAGACGGCAGUGCAAGUCCGGAGUGAAAGCCCGGGGCUCAACCCUGGGACUGCUCUGGAAACUGUAAAGCUGGAGUGCGGGAGGGGCAGGCGGAAUUCCUGGUGUAGCGGUGAAAUGCGUAGAUAUCAGGAGGAACACCGGCGGCGAAGGCGGCCUGCUGGACCGUAACUGACGUUGAGGCUCGAAAGCGUGGGGAGCAAGCAGGAUUAGAUACCCUGGUAAG